UACAGAGGGGGCAAGCGUUGUUCGGAAUUACUGGGCGUAAAGGGCGCGUAGGCGGCCUGUUAAGUCGAACGUGAAAUCCCCAGGCUCAACCUGGGAACUGCGUCCGAUACUGGCAGGCUUGAAUCCGGGAGAGGGAUGUGGAAUUCCAGGUGUAGCGGUGAAAUGCGUAGAUAUCUGGAGGAAUACCGGUGGCGAAGGCGACUUCCUGGACCAAUACUGACGCUCAGGUGCGAAAGCGUGGGGAGCAAACAGG
This 253-nucleotide ribosomal RNA is filed under the name uncultured bacterium. Its description in RNAcentral is "partial 16S ribosomal RNA". It matches the Rfam family "Bacterial small subunit ribosomal RNA", at positions 524 to 776 of the family's 1533-position model. The record is from RNAcentral.